Molecule: long non-coding RNA, 209 nt
Filed under: Lathyrus oleraceus (garden pea)
Lineage: Eukaryota; Viridiplantae; Streptophyta; Magnoliopsida; Fabales; Fabaceae
Description: Pisum sativum (pea) long non-coding RNA (PSAT_LNC036261)
Source: RNAcentral
UGGUUGUAGCAUUGAGAUCAAAAGCCCAAGAUCCUGUGCAGUGCACAUUGUGUCAGUGUCUUCGAGUAUAGAAGGGUUCCCCUAUUCUGGACCCAUGCUCAUUUGUCAGAAGCUCUCCCUGGUUAGGGAUAAGAGCUGUGAGGUCUGAUCCUCACUUCAUCCUAUCAUCUGCUUCACCUUAGCCUCGUAAUGGCAAGGUUAAGAGCAAA